Sapajus apella (tufted capuchin) is the source of this 3276-nucleotide long non-coding RNA. RefSeq lists it as uncharacterized. Lineage: Eukaryota; Metazoa; Chordata; Mammalia; Primates; Cebidae. The record is from RefSeq and is a predicted model, not a curated record. The transcript has 2 exons.
UUUGGACCUCCCUUUUAAUAACAUCCAAAUUAGACAAAAUUAUUUUUCCCAAUAAAGAAUACAUUUUUUGGCACAUUUUAUAUAAAACUAGGAAGUAAGAAAUCCUCAACUGCCCACCAGACACUGGCAUUCUAAGAUAAGUAUCAUUCUAUCAUUUUAAGACUUUAAACCACAUAAUAAACUCACUAUUUAAGCAUCUAUUCCAUUCUUUCACUUUUAACAGUUUUAUGUAGACUAUCUUCAAGAACCAAGAUACUGUGCAGAUCUAGCCACCAUUUAAAGCCAUGUUAACCAUUUUAAAGCCUAUGAUCAUCAAUGAUUUACCAAGGUGAAAAUCUUAAUGCCAAAUUUCAGAAUACAUAUAAUUGUCUUCAAACUAAUAAGCUUUGACUAAUCUUAUUUAAUUUAUGAACACUUUUAUUUAUAAACCAAUUUGAUAGCAUGUUAGACAAAAUACACAUCACAGUACCUAUAUAUAUACCUAAACAAACACAUUAAAUAAAGUUAUCUAUAGAAGGCAACUAGAUUAAAUUGUUCACAAAAUCGGGACCAUCUACUUGGCCAAAUUUUGUUUGCCCCAGUAGAUAUGAAAACAGAAAGAGGCAGAGAAGGGGAUCAAAUAUUAUCAAAUAACAAAGGGAGAGAGCAAAUGGCAUUGCUCAAGGGGAGACCCUGGAAACCCUGAGCCACCAAAAAGCUCACCCAACAGUGGAAUCACUGAAGAAAUAUAUUCAGGAAACUGCUUGUCUGCCACUGGGGGAAGGCAUCUGCUGGGUCAAUGGUCCAAGACUCCUAAUAAAGUUACUUGAACAAGGAAGUUUGUUGGGGCUAGUGGAUGAAAUUUAGCCCUAGACUUGAUGGAGAGCUUAUAGUGGGUGCCCAGUUGCUGAUUGAAUAAAGAAUGCAUGAUAAGCUUGGUACUCUGUUUUCAUUACCAUAGAGUAGCCAGUUUAUGUAUAUAAUUAAGAAACUUGAUGUAACUUGAUAUAACAUGCAUAAAUAUGACUUGUUCUAUAUUGCUUAUUUCUUAAAUAAUCUGUCAUUUUACUCUAGGUCAAGAAUUUACUGUAUGAGAUCCCUUCUUUUAUAAAAUUACUAUUUCUUUAUAUCCUUCCUUGCAAAAUAAUAAAUCUUCUAUCAUGAUAUUCUCUAUGUCUCUCUUUUUACUCACUGGUUCCCUUAUAUUUUGAACCUCCCUUUUAAUAACUUCCAAGUUAGACACUCACAUACUAUAGGCUUAAAAAAUUGUUUAGUUUACAUAUAACCCAAAUAUAGAAUAUUUUCCCGGUCCGUAUAAUUUGAUUUAUAGCUCAAAUUGGGCAAAUUUAUAGUCUAGAGAUGAUAUUUAUUCCUUUACAACCUGCCUUGUGUUAUACUGUAUAUACUUUCACUGACUCCAUGAUACACGUUAGUUUUCGUAAGAUCACUGCAUAUUGACAUUGUAAUAUUCAAUAAGGUAUGAGAUUAAAAAGCAAGUUCUAGACGGAGUAGACAUAUCAUGUGGAGUAUGUGGAAUGAAUCAGUACGUAGAAGACUCAGCAGGAGCACUCAGAAAAUAAGAUUGAGGAACUUUGAAAAAGAUGGAGAUGGGUGGUGUAUUUGACUUUUGUGUAAAAAGCAGCUAAUAAAUGGAAACAAUAGCAAAUUAAAAUAAAUAGCAAAUGAAAAUAAAGUAAUGUUGGAAAGUUUUAAGAGUGAAAACUCCAAAGAGGAAAACUACUGAACUGCAACUGUAGAAAAGAACUUAUGGUUUGGCCAAUAAGUAAAACUCCAGGUAAGUACAGCUUUGAGAAUAAUUAAGAAACUUUAUUUUAAAAAUCAAGUUUAUUGAGGUAUAUGAUAAAAAGCUCCAUUUUAAUGGUACAGUUUGAUGAGUUUGGACAAAGGGAUCCCAGAUUUAAUCUCACAAUCAUGACUCCCCCUGCACAAUGUCCCUUGUACCUCUAGGCAAUCCAUCAUUCCACUUGGGGCCUGAUAACCACUGAUCUGGUUUUUGUCACUAUUAGUUACCUUUGUCCAUUCUAGCAAAUAUGAAAAAUUGAAUUGUAUUACUCAGCAUAAGUGUUUUGAGAUUAAUCAUGUAUUGGGUGUAUCAGUGGUUCUGUUGUAUAAAAAAUUCUGUUGUAUGGUUUCUUUAUUUCAUGCUCCUAUAAGAGAGCAUGUGGAAUCGGUAAUUAUUAAAGAACAGAAAUUUAUUUCUUACACUUUCAGAGGUGUAGAAAGCCAAGAUCAAGGUGCCAGCAGGAUUGUUCUCUAGUUCCAAGUUGGUGCUUUGUUGCUUUGUUCUCCAAAGAGGAGGAGCAUUGUUGUCUUGAUGUGCCUAUCAAUCCUUUUAGUAGUGGCAUUAAUUCUAUUAAUUAGGACAGAGGUCUCACUUUUAAACAUCUGAAAGCCUCCAUCUCCCUAUUCCUCCAUGCUGGGGGUCAAGUUUCCAACAUAUGAAUUUUGGGGAAACAUUCAGAGCAUAGCAUGUGGCUAGAGUAAAAUAUCACUAUUCUUUCACUAGCUUGUGGACAUUUAGGUAGUUUCCCUCUUUUCCUUAUUAUGAAUAAAGCUGCUACAUUCAUACACAACUCUUUGUGUGGACAUAUGUUUUCACAACUCUUGGGAAAAUACCAAAGGAUGGAAGUGCUGAGUCAUAUGCCAAGUGUAUGUUUAAUUUUGUGAGAUACUGCCAGUCUGUUUUCCCAAGUUGUUAGACUAUUUUCUAUUCCCAUCAGCAAUGUAGGAAAUAUCUAGUUACUUCACAUCCUUGCCAACACAUCAUAGCCAGAAUUUUAAGUUUUAGCCAUUUUACUAAGUUAAUUGUGGUAUCUCAUUGUGAUUUUAAUUGGGAUUUCUUGGUAACUAUUGAUAUUGAGCAUCAUUUUCUCUCUUUGUGUGUCUGUGUCUGUGUCUGUGGCCAGACUUCUUUUAUGAACUACAUUCAAUUUGUUCAUUUUUGAAUUGGAUUGCCUGUGGCUUGCCUUUUUUAUUUUUCUAAAUGGGGUCUUUGAAAGAGCAGAAAGUUUUAACUCUGAUGAAAUCUAACAUAUUUUUUUUUCUUUUAUGCUUCUUUUAUUGUUCUAGCUAAGAAAUCUUUGCCUAUGUCAAGGCCAUGAAAAUUCUUUGUGGAAGAUUUAUGGUUUUAGAUUUUAAGAUUUGAGUUAAUUUUAGGGCAUAGAGGGUGAGGAGAGUCAAAGUUCCUUUUUUUUUUUUUUUUUUUUUUUGCCAAAAGAAACCCUCCAUUAAUUCAAAACUACGUGUCCCUUGAAGUUAAAAAAGGCAUGAGUUUUA